This 465-nucleotide ribosomal RNA is filed under the name uncultured bacterium. RNAcentral describes it as "partial 16S ribosomal RNA". It matches the Rfam family "Bacterial small subunit ribosomal RNA", at positions 338 to 795 of the family's 1533-position model. The record is from RNAcentral.
CCUACGGGAGACAGCAGUGGGGAAUGUUGCGCAAUGCUCGUAAGAGUGACGCAGCGACGCCGCGUGAAUGACGAAGGCCUUCGGGUCGUAAAGUUCUUUCGACAGGGAAGAAAAUGCCUAUAAGUAACUGUGUAUGUAUUGACGGUACCUGUAUAAGCAGCCCCGGCUAACUCCGUGCCAGCAGCCGCGGUAAUACGGAGGGGGCGAGCGUUGUUCGGAGUGACUGGGCGUAAAGAGCACGUAGGCGGUGUUGUAAGUCAUUAGUCAAAGACUAGAGCUCAACUUUAGUAAGGCUAGUGAUACUAUAAUACUAGAGUAUCAGAGAGGAUUGCAGAAUUCCUGGUGUAGCGGUGAAAUGCGUAGAUAUUAGGAGGAACACCAGUGGCGAAGGCGACUUUCUGGACUGUACCUGACGCUGAGGCGCGAAAGCGUGGGUAGCGAACGGGAUUAGAUACCCGAGUAGUC